AGUGAACGCUGGCGGUAGGCCUAACACAUGCAAGUCGAACGGCAGCACAGGAGAGCUUGCUCUCUGGGUGGCGAGUGGCGGACGGGUGAGGAAUACAUCGGAAUCUACUUUUUCGUGGGGGAUAACGUAGGGAAACUUACGCUAAUACCGCAUACGACCUACGGGUGAAAGCAGGGGAUCUUCGGAACUUGCGCGAUUGAAUGAGCCGAUGUCGGAUUAGCUAGUUGGCGGGGUAAAGGCCCACCAAGGCGACGAUCCGUAGCUGGUCUGAGAGGAUGAUCAGCCACACUGGAACUGAGACACGGUCCAGACUCCUACGGGAGGCAGCAGUGGGGAAUAUUGGACAAUGGGCGCAGGCCUGAUCCAGCCAUACCGCGUGGGUGAAGAAGGCCUUCGGGUUGUAAAGCCCUUUUGUUGGGAAAGAAAUCCAGCUGGUUAAUACCCGGUUGGGAUGACGGUACCCAAAGAAUAAGCACCAGCUAACUUCGUGCCAGCCGCCGCCGUAA
Molecule: ribosomal RNA, 506 nt
Filed under: uncultured bacterium
Lineage: Bacteria
Description: partial 16S ribosomal RNA
Rfam family: Bacterial small subunit ribosomal RNA
Source: RNAcentral